UACGUAGGGGGCAAGCGUUGUCCGGAUUUAUUGGGCGUAAAGCGCGUGUAGGCGGCCAUACAGGUCCGUUGUGAAAACUCGAGGCUCAACCUCGAGACGUCGAUGGAAACCGUAUGGCUAGAGUCCGGAAGAGGAGAGCGGAAUUCCUGGUGUAGCGGUGAAAUGCGCAGAUAUCAGGAAGAACACCCGUGGCGAAGGCGGCUCUCUGGGACGGUACUGACGCUGAGACGCGAAAGCGUGGGGAGCGAACAGG
This 253-nucleotide ribosomal RNA is filed under the name uncultured bacterium. Its description in RNAcentral is "partial 16S ribosomal RNA". It matches the Rfam family "Bacterial small subunit ribosomal RNA", at positions 524 to 776 of the family's 1533-position model. The record is from RNAcentral.